AAUAGCCCACAUAUUUUCAAGUGCAAUGUGACAUUUACCAAGAGAGAUCUUUGACUUAGCCAUUGAAAGCCUCAAUAAAGUUAGAAGACUGAAAAAGCACAGAGGAUGAUUGCAGAGGAGAAAGCAUUUAAUUAGAAAUUAAUAUCAAACAUCAUUUUCUGAAUGUUG
Long non-coding RNA from Cervus elaphus (red deer), 168 nucleotides. RefSeq lists it as uncharacterized. The transcript is spliced from 3 exons. The record is from RefSeq and is a predicted model, not a curated record. Lineage: Eukaryota; Metazoa; Chordata; Mammalia; Artiodactyla; Cervidae.